GACGAACGCUGGCGGCGUGCCUAAUACAUGCAAGUUGAGCGCUGAAGGUUGGUACUUGUACCAACUGGAUGAGCAGCGAACGGGUGAGUAACGCGUGGGGAAUCUGCCUUUGAGCGGGGGACAACAUUUGGAAACGAAUGCUAAUACCGCAUAAAAACUUUAAACACAAGUUUUAAGUUUGAAAGAUGCAAUUGCAUCACUCAAAGAUGAUCCCGCGUUGUAUUAGCUAGUUGGUGAGGUAAAGGCUCACCAAGGCGAUGAUACAUAGCCGACCUGAGCGGGGGAACGGCAAAAAUGGGAAUGAGAAAAGGCCAAAACUCCAACGGGAGGCAGAAGUGGGGAAUCUUGGGAAAUGGGAGAAAGGCGGACCGAGAAACGCCGCGGGGGUGAAGAAGGUUUUCGGAUGGUAAAACUCUGUGGGGAGGGAAGAAGGGUGGGGAGAGAGGAAAGCGCAGAAAGGAAGGGAAAAAACCAAGAAAGGGACGCUAAACUAGGG
This 496-nucleotide ribosomal RNA is filed under the name uncultured bacterium. RNAcentral's name for it is "partial 16S ribosomal RNA". It matches the Rfam family "Bacterial small subunit ribosomal RNA", at positions 28 to 506 of the family's 1533-position model. The record is from RNAcentral.